Molecule: ribosomal RNA, 404 nt
Filed under: Photobacterium sp. AZTITEMP121
Lineage: Bacteria; Pseudomonadati; Pseudomonadota; Gammaproteobacteria; Vibrionales; Vibrionaceae
Description: bacterial SSU rRNA
Rfam family: Bacterial small subunit ribosomal RNA
Source: RNAcentral
UGGUGGAGCAUGUGGUUUAAUUNGAUGCAACGCGAAGANCCUUACCUACUCUUGACAUCCAGAGAAUUCGCUAGAGAUAGCUUAGUGCCUUCGGGAACUCUGAGACAGGUGCUGCAUGGCUGUCGUCAGCUCGUGUUGUGAAAUGUUGGGUUAAGUCCCGCAACGAGCGCAACCCUUAUCCUUGUUUGCCAGCACAUAAUGGUGGGAACUCCAGGGAGACUGCCGGUGAUAAACCGGAGGAAGGUGGGGACGACGUCAAGUCAUCAUGGCCCUUACGAGUAGGGCUACACACGUGCUACAAUGGCGUAUACAGAGGGCUGCAAACUAGCGAUAGUAAGCGAAUCCCACAAAGUACGUCGUAGUCCGGAUNGGAGUNUGCAACUCGACUCCANGAAGUNGGAANC